CAGUAGCCGCGGUAAUACGAAGGGGGCUAGCGUUGUUCGGAAUUACUGGGCGUAAAGCGCACGUAGGCGGAUAUUUAAGUCAGGGGUGAAAUCCCAGAGCUCAACUCUGGAACUGCCUUUGAUACUGGGUAUCUUGAGUAUGGAAGAGGUAAGUGGAAUUCCGAGUGUAGAGGUGAAAUUCGUAGAUAUUCGGAGGAACACCAGUGGCGAAGGCGGCUUACUGGUCCAUUACUGACGCUGAGGUGCGAAAGCGUGGGGAGCAAACAGGAUUAGAUACCCCCGUAGUCCCUGUCUCUUAUAC
Molecule: ribosomal RNA, 301 nt
Filed under: uncultured bacterium
Lineage: Bacteria
Description: partial 16S ribosomal RNA
Rfam family: Bacterial small subunit ribosomal RNA
Source: RNAcentral